Schizosaccharomyces pombe (fission yeast) is the source of this 675-nucleotide non-coding RNA. Lineage: Eukaryota; Fungi; Ascomycota; Schizosaccharomycetes; Schizosaccharomycetales; Schizosaccharomycetaceae. The record is from the annotation of a GenBank genome assembly.
UUAUAACUCAUCGACAGAUGAUUCCUUGUCUUCCAUUCCAUUAACAGCAUUUUCGUUUGCGCUGUUUUGGGUGUUGAGUAAAGACUGCUUGAGUUGAUCAGGGGAGCACGCAGCAGGGCUCUUCAUUUUGAUUAAAUACUCACAUUUCUGAGCCUCCAGUACACUAACAAUCUCAUUUUCUACUCCACAUUCAACAGUAACAAUGGCAGAUCUAUGAGGACCAUUCCAGCAACUUUGACCAUUUUCAUACUUUAGAACAUUUCCUUCCUGCGAGGCAAAAUUUCUAGAGUUGUUAGCAAACACAUACCAAAGCAAAUCUACACCUACCCUAAUAGAAUGGAAUCUUGAAAAACAUUUUCGUAAAACACCACCUUGUAUGUAUAGCCACCAAUUUCACGUUUUGUUUCCAUUCCCUUGAUAGCUCUGUACAAAUCCCACCCAUGGUGGUAUUCCAAUUCAUGCAUAAGUUUUGUGUGUUCCUUUUCAAGACUCUUUUCGUUUUCUUCAGCAGCAUCUAGGUCACGUUGAGCUGCUUCAAAACGGCGAUCUUAAUGAAUUAGUAAUUGGUAAUCAACUAACAAUCAACGAAAAUAACAUACAUGAUUCACUGUCAGUCAAAGGAGUUGAGGAGGCAGAUGGACUUAAUAUUCCAAAAUUGAUAAGUGAGAGUUUGAU